RNAcentral lists this non-coding RNA (182 nucleotides) under bovine gut metagenome. The record is from RNAcentral.
CACCGUGAAGUGGAAUCCGAAGGAAGCCGGAGAGAUACGAUAAACCCUGACGGGCAAAGAUCCGGGCCGAAGAACAGAAAUCGCAUAUACGGCGGAGCAGAGGAAACGAGGCAGCAGGACAGGCGGAAAUCCCAUGCUCCCCGGACUCUGCCACGUAAAUCCAGUGCCUGCAUGGAAUGAAG